AGAGAGCAUACAAGCGGGGGAGAGGGGCAGAGGGAGAUAGAGCAUCUUAAAAAUGUUCCAUGCUCAGUGCAGAGCCCAAUGCAGGACUCGAUCUCAUGGCCCUGGGAUCAUGACCUUAGCUGAAUCAAGAGUGGGACACCCAACCAAUGGAGCCAUCCAGGCAUGCUGAGAGAGACAGAGCAUGAACGGGGGAGGGUCAGAGAGAGGGAGACACAGAAUCCGAAACAGGCUCCAGGCUCUGAGCUGUCAGCACAGAGCCCGACGCGGGGCUCGAACUCACGGACCGUGAGAUCAUGACCUGAGCCGAAGUUGGCCGCCCAACCGACUGAGUCACCCAGGCGCCCCUCUCUCUCUCUCUUUCAAAAUAAAUAAACUUAUGGCCAACUAAUCUUUGACAAAGCAGGAAAGAAUAUUCAAUGGAAUAAAGACAGUCUCUUCAGCAAGUGGUGCUAGGAAAACUGGACAGCAACAUGCAGAAAAAUGAACCUGGACCACUUUCUUACACCAUACACAAAAAUAAACUCCAAAUGGAUGAAAGACCUAAAUGUAAGACAGGAAGCCAUCAGAAUCCUCGAGGAGAAAG
Long non-coding RNA from Panthera uncia (snow leopard), 583 nucleotides. RefSeq lists it as uncharacterized. The transcript is spliced from 2 exons. The record is from RefSeq and is a predicted model, not a curated record. NCBI's taxonomy places the organism in Eukaryota, Metazoa, Chordata, Mammalia, Carnivora, Felidae.